RNAcentral lists this ribosomal RNA (447 nucleotides) under uncultured bacterium. RNAcentral describes it as "partial 16S ribosomal RNA". It matches the Rfam family "Bacterial small subunit ribosomal RNA", at positions 29 to 523 of the family's 1533-position model. The record is from RNAcentral.
AGCGAACGCUGGCGGCAGGCCUAAUACAUGCAAGUCGAGCGCACCUUCAGGUGAGCGGCGGACGGGGGAGUAACGCGUGGGAACGUUCCCUUUGGUACGGGAUCACUGAGGGAAACUUCAGCUAAUACCGUAUGUGCCCUACGGGGGAAAGAUUUAUCGCCAUUGGAGCGGCCCGCGUUGGAUUAGGUAGUUGGUGAGGUAAAGGCUCACCAAGCCUACGAUCCAUAGCUGGUCUGAGAGGAUGAUCAGCCACACUGGGACGGAGACACGGCCCAGACUCCUACGGGAGGCAGCAGUAGGGAAUCUUGCGCAAUGGGCGAAAGCCUGACGCAGCCAUGCCGCGUGUAUGAUGAAGGUCUUAGGAUUGUAAAAUACUUUCACCGGGGAAGAUAAUGACGGUACCCGGAGAAGAAGCCCCGGCUAACUUCGUGCCAGCCGCCGCAGUAA